AUAAAGUCUAAAACGACUCUCGGCAACGGAUAUCUCGGCUCUCGCAUCGAUGAAGAACGUAGCGAAAUGCGAUACUUGGUGUGAAUUGCAGAAUCCCGUGAACCAUCGAGUCUUUGAACGCAAGUUGCGCCCCAAGCCUUCUGGCCGAGGGCACGUCUGCCUGG
RNAcentral lists this ribosomal RNA (164 nucleotides) under Parrya darvazica. Its description in RNAcentral is "5.8S ribosomal RNA". It matches the Rfam family "5.8S ribosomal RNA". From Rfam's summary of the family: 5.8S ribosomal RNA (5.8S rRNA) is a component of the large subunit of the eukaryotic ribosome. Lineage: Eukaryota; Viridiplantae; Streptophyta; Magnoliopsida; Brassicales; Brassicaceae. The record is from RNAcentral.